This 492-nucleotide ribosomal RNA is filed under the name uncultured bacterium. RNAcentral describes it as "partial 16S ribosomal RNA". It matches the Rfam family "Bacterial small subunit ribosomal RNA", at positions 29 to 507 of the family's 1533-position model. The record is from RNAcentral.
AGUGAACGCUGGCGGUAGGCCUAACGCAUGCAAGUCGAACGGCAGCACAGUAAGAGCUUGCUCUUACGGGUGGCGAGUGGCGGACGGGUGAGGAAUACAUCGGAAUCUACUUUUUCGUGGGGGAUAACGUAGGGAAACUUACGCUAAUACCGCAUACGACCUACGGGUGAAGGCAGGGGAUCUUCGGACCUUGCGCGAUUGAAUGAGCCGAUGUCGGAUUAGCUAGUUGGCGGGGUAAAGGCCCACCAAGGCGACGAUCCGUAGCUGGUCUGAGAGGAUGAUCAGCCACACUGGAACUGAGACACGGUCCAGACUCCUACGGGAGGCAGCAGUGGGGAAUAUUGGACAAUGGGCGCAGGCCUGAUCCAGCCAUACCGCGUGGGUGAAGAAGGCCUUCGGGUUGUAAAGCCCUUUUGUUGGGAAAGAAAAGCAGCAGGUUAAUACCCCGCUGUUCUGACGGUACCCAAAGAAUAAGCACCGGCUAACUUCGUG